UGAAGAGUUUGAUCAUGGCUCAGAUUGAACGCUGGCGGCAGGCUUAACACAUGCAAGUCGAGCGGUAACAGAUCUAGCUUGCUAGAUGCUGACGAGCGGCGGACGGGUGAGUAAUGCUUAGGAAUCUGCCCAGUAGUGGGGGACAACAAUCGGAAACGGUUGCUAAUACCGCAUACGCCCUACGGGGGAAAGCAGGGGAUCUUCGGACCUUGCGCUAUUGGAUGAGCCUAAGUCGGAUUAGCUAGUUGGUAGGGUAAAGGCCUACCAAGGCGACGAUCCGUAGCUGGUCUGAGAGGAUGAUCAGCCACAUCGGGACUGAGACACGGCCCGAACUCCUACGGGAGGCAGCAGUGGGGAAUAUUGGACAAUGGGGGCAACCCUGAUCCAGCCAUGCCG
Molecule: ribosomal RNA, 396 nt
Filed under: Nephroselmis pyriformis
Lineage: Eukaryota; Viridiplantae; Chlorophyta; Nephroselmidophyceae; Nephroselmidales; Nephroselmidaceae
Description: partial Bacterial small subunit ribosomal RNA
Rfam family: Bacterial small subunit ribosomal RNA
Source: RNAcentral